AAGUCGUAACAAGGUUUCCGUAGGUGAACCUGCGGAAGGAUCAUUACCAAAUCCAAAUUCUUAACCCCAUGUGAACUAUUGUUUUAGUCUGUCUUUGGGAGAAGGAAUUUAUUUUUCUUCUCCCAAUAGAGUCCGGCAUAACUUUAUUGUUGUGUCCAGAUUCGAAAAAAACCAUAAACCACUUGAUUUUCUGUUGGAAUUACUUUUAUUAAUUUAUAAAUAAAAGACAACUUUUAACGGCGGAUCUCUUGGCUCGU
RNAcentral lists this unclassified non-coding RNA (257 nucleotides) under fungal sp. RNAcentral's name for it is "partial internal transcribed spacer region". The stretch from base 1 to 46 matches the Rfam family "Eukaryotic small subunit ribosomal RNA", at positions 1786 to 1831 of the family's 1831-position model. Lineage: Eukaryota; Fungi. The record is from RNAcentral. RNAcentral also lists the same sequence under 1 other name.